RNAcentral lists this ribosomal RNA (274 nucleotides) under uncultured bacterium. RNAcentral describes it as "partial 16S ribosomal RNA". It matches the Rfam family "Bacterial small subunit ribosomal RNA", at positions 523 to 796 of the family's 1533-position model. The record is from RNAcentral.
AUACGGAGGGUGCGAGCGUUAAUCGGAAUUACUGGGCGUAAGGGGUGCGUAGGCGGCUUGAUAAGUCGGAUGUGAAAGCCCCGGGCUUAACCUGGGAAUUGCAUUCGAUACUGUCAGGCUAGAGUAUGUCAGAGGUUGGCGGAAUUCCUGGUGUAGCGGUGAAAUGCGUAGAUAUCAGGAGGAACACCAGUGGCGAAGGCGGCUAACUGGGACAAUACUGACGCUGAGGCACGAAAGCGUGGGGAGCAAACAGGAUUAGAAACCCUAGUAGUCC